ACUCCUACGGGAGGCAGCAGUGGGGAAUAUUGCACAAUGGGCGCAAGCCUGAUGCAGCCAUGCCGCGUGUGUGAAGAAAGGCCUUCGGGUUGUAAAGCACUUUCAGUCGUGAGGAAGGUAGUGUAGUUAAUAGCUGCAUUAUUUGACGUUAGCGACAGAAGAAGCACCGGCUAACUCCGUGCCAGCAGCCGCGGUAAUACGGAGGGUGCGAGCGUUAAUCGGAAUUACUGGGCGUAAAGCGCAUGCAGGUGGUUUGUUAAGUCAGAUGUGAAAGCCCGGGGCUCAACCUCGGAAUAGCAUUUGAAACUGGCAGGACUAGAGUACUGUAGAGGGGGGUAGAAUUUCAGGUGUAGCGGUGAAAUGCGUAGAGAUCUGAAGGAAUACCGGUGGCGAAGGCGGCCCCCUGGACAGAUACUGACACUCAGAUGCGAAAGCGUGGGGAGCAAACAGGAUUAGAUACCCUGGUAGGAUAGCG
This 475-nucleotide ribosomal RNA is filed under the name uncultured bacterium. RNAcentral's name for it is "bacterial SSU rRNA". It matches the Rfam family "Bacterial small subunit ribosomal RNA", at positions 335 to 799 of the family's 1533-position model. The record is from RNAcentral.